GAGGGGCUGAUGGGAAAACGCACAGUUUCCACGACCACAAGAUGAAGAUGUAGAAAUGAGGAGAGUGUGAAUUAUUUAGAUUAAUAUCAAAAGCAAAGUCACUGUCUCGCCCAGCAGCAGAACUGUCACUCCCUGCCCCCUCCCCUCUCACUCUAAUCGUGAGAAAUAAAGUCUGUCUUUAUAGGAGGAUUGUCAGUCUGCGCCUCUAGCGUCAUUUUUAGCGGAAUCGAGCCCAGGAUUUAGCGGAAUUAUUAAUAAAUCGCCGCUCCUUUUCCUUUUUUUGUUGUUGUCUGGCAGCAGGAUCAAUGCCUGUAUAAGUAAGAGUCACAGGCAGCCGGUUACAGACGCACAUGCCUUUCAGCGGCAGAAUCGCUGGCUGCGACUGCCAUCUAGCGGACAGUUUCCGGCGGACGAGUUUACAUCAGUAACUGAGACACUACGGGGCAUGUGCACUUUACUGGACUGAUUUUCUGCUUAUUAACCGACUGCUCGGGAGGAUACUAUGGGUGCGAGGAGGGGAUGAGAUUAAGGGCUGUUUCUUGUUUGCAGCAAAGGGUUAAUCGGUCGCCCGACAAGGUGAAGCCAGAAGCAGCCAAAGUGCGCUGAACUGGAGCAACCCCUGGCGCAAGGCGAGAGAGCGGGACGUCUAUUCAUUCCUUUAUCAUCUGCCUCUUCAUUCAUUAGGGACAAGAGACAAAAAAACCGCCCUCCCAAACUUUCCUGAUGCCCGUGUAGCUCGGCUGAGGGGGGGGGGAGAUUUCUCCAUUAGUGACAGCUCCGGAUCUUUUCCAAGCGAAUAGUUCCCUGUUAUUUAUGUCUCUCUCUCCAUUGAAAUAAUGAAGAGAUUUUGCCCGGGCUCAUUGUUGGAUGUUAUUGACUGUGCGACAGAUCUGCUCGACUCCAGUCUCCCGGGCGCUCAAAGGCUGAAACAAAUACGAUUAAAUAAGCACCCCCUGUGUGUGUGGGAAUCAGUAAGAUUUCGGGGCGAGGAGGAGACUGAGAGGAGAGGCAGCAAAGCGGCUUCAGGGAAGGCUGAUUGCGCUCGGCUGGAACUAAACUGCGCCCGGGGAAGUCUUGCGCUCUGCGCUACUACAGCUCUGGCUCCAUUUCCAUUGCUCUGACUGUGAGUAACUGUUGCAUCAUUCCUCAACCGACUGCACUGACUCCAGUAGGGGGAAUGCUCUGGACAAUCACUGGCCUGAAGGCAGCAAGAACUCUGUACUUCUCUCCAAUUCUCUCCAAUUCUUCCACUCAAUGAAUGCUUUUAUUUUUAUGUAGAAAGGCAAUGGAGGGAAUAUUUGCAAGUAAGAUAAUCAGAAGAAACACCUACAUUCUAACAUAUCAUGGGAUUGAAGGAAGCGAAGAAGUACAGAAGAGUCUGGCAGUCUGAUCUAACCCUAAUUGACUACUGGAGAGACUAUGGAGAAUGCAGGUUAUAACAUUAGUUCCAUGCAAAGCUUUUUGUGGUAGAGAUGACAGGUGGGAAAAUAUGCCUUAAAUGAGAUAGACAGAUAUUGGCCCAUUAUGAUAUCAAAUUCUAUCCAAUCAGUGAAGGAAACGACUUAAUGGCAAGGGAUGAAAACCGAAGCAUAUGAAUCCACUCCACAUCGUCACACAUCCAGCUGUGAUGUUUCCACUGAUAUUAUAAAUGACAUUCCAUGGUUUCUAUGUUUGCAGGGACCUUUAAUCCUCCUGUUUACCCUUGUUUCUUAAUUGUUUGACCCUCGCAUUGUAAAAUAUUAAAUUGCUAAUUUUACAUUUAAAUUGCUGCAUAACUUUGUGGAUUCAUAGUGCAAUGAGAGCAAGUGAUCAAUCGUGUAAAGCAGAGGAGGAAAACAGGAUAUAGUUAGAAUAAUUAGGAGCAAUAGUGAGACUUUCCUUUUAUUAUAGUACACAGUUCUGGAUUUAUAAAAAAAAACUUUAAUAAAACUACUCAAAUUAAGGUUCUGACAUGAUGUAUUAUAAAGCAUAUUAGCGAUUUCAAGGCCUUAAAGAGAAUCUGUCAUGAUUUUUAACGAUGUUGUUUUUAUUUCUAAAUUACACUGUUUACACUGGAAAUAAUCCACUC
Xenopus laevis (African clawed frog) is the source of this 2068-nucleotide long non-coding RNA. RefSeq lists it as uncharacterized. The record is from RefSeq and is a predicted model, not a curated record. The transcript has 5 exons. NCBI's taxonomy places the organism in Eukaryota, Metazoa, Chordata, Amphibia, Anura, Pipidae.